Molecule: small nuclear RNA, 138 nt
Organism: Zalophus californianus (California sea lion)
Lineage: Eukaryota; Metazoa; Chordata; Mammalia; Carnivora; Otariidae
Gene: U4
Rfam family: U4 spliceosomal RNA
About the family: U4 small nuclear RNA (U4 snRNA) is a component of the major U2-dependent spliceosome. The structure of U4 snRNA from yeast and human has been reported.
Source: Ensembl
UUCUUUGCUCAGUGGCAGCAGUAUCGUAGCCCGUGAGGUUUAUCCAAGGAGCGAUUAUUGCUGAUUGAAAACUCUUCCCAGUUCUGUGAUCUAGAUUUACAAAAUUUCCUCUUCAAAUUCUUGCCUUCUGUUAUGUAG